GGACCCGUGGGGUAGUGGAUUAUCCUUCCGGCCUUCGGAGCCGGGGAUCCGGGUUCGAAUCCCGGCGGGUCCGCCA
RNAcentral lists this transfer RNA (76 nucleotides) under Thermoplasmatales archaeon. RNAcentral describes it as "tRNA-Arg". It matches the Rfam family "tRNA". Rfam says of the family: Transfer RNA (tRNA) molecules are approximately 80 nucleotides in length. Their secondary structure includes four short double-helical elements and three loops (D, anti-codon, and T loops). Lineage: Archaea; Methanobacteriati; Thermoplasmatota; Thermoplasmata; Thermoplasmatales. The record is from RNAcentral.